Molecule: ribosomal RNA, 497 nt
Filed under: uncultured bacterium
Lineage: Bacteria
Description: partial 16S ribosomal RNA
Rfam family: Bacterial small subunit ribosomal RNA
Source: RNAcentral
GAUGAACGCUGGCGGCGUGCCUAAUACAUGCAAGUCGAGCGAACAGACGAGGAGCUUGCUCCUCUGACGUUAGCGGCGGACGGGUGAGUAACACGUGGAUAACCUACCUAUAAGACUGGGAUAACUUCGGGAAACCGGAGCUAAUACCGGAUAAUAUAUUGAACCGCAUGGUUCAAUAGUGAAAGACGGUUUUGCUGUCACUUAUAGAGGGAUCCGCGCCGCAUUAGCUAGUUGGUACGGUAACGGCUUACCAAGGCAACGAGGCGUAGCCGACCUGACGGGGUGAUCGGCCACCUUGGAACUGAGACACGGACCAGACUCCUACGGGAGGCAGCAGUAGGGAAUCUUCCGCAAUGGGCGAAAGCCUGACGGAGCAACGCCGCGUGAGUGAUGAAGGUCUUCGGAUCGUAAAACUCUGUUAUUAGGGAAGAACAAAUGUGUACGUAACUAUGCACGUCUUGACGGUACCUAAUCAGAAAGCCACGGCUAACUACGUG